GUAGGGUGCGAGCGUUGUUCGGAGUUAUUCGGCGUAAAGGGCGUGUAGGCGGCUUGAGAAGUCUGGUUUGAAAUGCACUGGCUCAACUGGUGCGCUGGGUCAGAAACUGGCAGGCUUGAGUUCAUGGGGAGGAGCUGGAAUUCCAGGUGUAGGGGUGAAAUCUGUAGAGAUCUGGAAGAACACCGGUAGCGAAGGCGGGCUCCUAUGGAUGGACUGACGCUGAGGCGCGAAAGCGUGGGGAGCAAACAGGAUUAGAUACCCUGGUAGUCCACGCUGUAAACGAUGUGCACUAGGUAUGGGGUACGAGAUGUACUCCGUGUCGGAGCGAACGCGUUAAGUGCACCGCCUGGGGAGUAUGCUCGCAAGGGUG
RNAcentral lists this ribosomal RNA (370 nucleotides) under uncultured bacterium. RNAcentral describes it as "bacterial SSU rRNA". It matches the Rfam family "Bacterial small subunit ribosomal RNA", at positions 527 to 896 of the family's 1533-position model. The record is from RNAcentral.